UUGCUUUGAAGCCUGCUUCAAGUGGCUAUUUGAGGAACAACGUUUUUUUUAAACUCUGCGUUACUCCAGAGGUUUCUCCUUGGAACAAGUAUCAACACUGCCAAUGAUUCACUGUGUAUAAUUUAUACAAAGCCAUGUCAUGCUCCAGUCAGUAGUACAAAAGUAAACAACACACCACACAAGCACAUAAAUGUAAGUGAACUCCUGCCAUUGGAAAUGCCCACUCACUGGCCUUGAGGUUAAAACAUUUUUUCCACAAAUAUGUUCAGAGACGGUUUGAUUUUAUUUUGAAUGAGACAGGAGAGUGACACUGUUUCUUUUCCCAUUUCAAAAAAUAAUUUUCCCAACAGACCACAUUCCCACGAUGCUGUCAUGUGGUCCUAAAUUUGCUGCAGCUGAGUGAAGUGAGAUUUGAUCACCACAGAAAGAUGUUAGGAGAAAUCAAUCUGACUGUUUGUUUGUGCAUGUAAAAGUUUUGACCCCGUCUCUGAGGGCUGCAGGGACUUGAUGUUGUUUAGACUCAUCUCUCUGCCUUCUCUCCCCGGAGACCUGCCUGUGUAGCAAUCCCAGCAUCCUGUUCCCUGCUCCGCUGCAUCCAUAUCGCACUAAUGAUCAUGGGAGUGGACAGCUGCUUAAUGCAGUAGUGUCAUCAGGGCUGCUGUCUGAUAGAAGCUCCAUUGCACUUGACGGGACUCAAAUGUAUCUGCUGCCCACGAGAUCCCACAUUUAGCGGAUCCACUAAUGUGCUUUAGGAUCACCUCAGAAAAGGUGUGUUAGAUAUAUGAUCACAAGACACAUCACACUUCAAGUGCAGGAUUACAGUCAGGAUUCUUCUUUCUUUUACUUCUUUGAACAGUGUCAGAUUUUAAAGCAUGGCUCCCAAUCACAUUAAGAAUAUGCUAAUAAAUAUUAAAGAAAACAUAGAAGGGGGGCUUUCUUAAAUCUUCAUAAACAAUCAUGAGAUUUCUUGAGCUAUACUUUUGCUGUUCCCAUUUUUCCCCUCCAGGGCUUGAUAUUCAUGUACUUCUUUGUCUACCCUGUGACCCAUCAUGAACCACAGGCGUGCCGUCUUGGGCAGCAGUGGUCACCUGACUGCAGUGCGUGCACUUAUCCAGUUAUGCACUCUCUCUCUUUCUCUCACUCAGCUGGAGCGCUCCUGUCCGGUGCAGCUAAAACAACAACAGAGCAGUUGAAUAAAUACAAGCAGAACAAGUUUCGUAAGAGUGGGCAGGGAAAGGUACAGGAUCUUAACACGCCGCUGUUUUUCCCUCUUGUACAAAUCGGUGCCAUCUUUUCAACCUGAAGCGUAUAUCAAACGAAUUAUGAGACCACAAUAUCAUGUACCUUAAUCCGCAUCUCGACAUCCAUGUACUUUUCAACUUUCACUUUUCUGCUAUCUUAAAAGACUUUGGUUUUGAGGUGGAGUUUUCAAAGGAAAGUCAUAGGAAAACAUUGAUAACAACAGUUCAGCCACCUUUGAUUCCUACCCUGAAGUGAGUAAACCAAACAUGGCCACUUUAAAGGGAGAAACAACAGAAUCAAUAAACCACUAAUGGAAAAAAAUGGAGCAUUUUAGUAUUCUUUUAAUAAUUUUCUGCUGUAAAAGUAGGAAAGCUGCCAAAGUUUAUAUGAGACUGCAUCAUGUCACUCAUAAAAAGCUUGUUAUCAAUCACUACGGUUUUGUUUUUCCAAGUUUGCCUCCAUCUGUUACAGUGAAUAAAGACCCUGACGACAUCAUUAUAAACCUUAUCCUCUGGAAUACGUUCUCUAAACUGAAAGGACCCUAUUAGAACAAAAGAUAUUGUGUUCCACAGGUUAUCAAUGAUAUUUGAAACACCAUCUCGAGAGACAUAUGCUGCCAUUGAAACUCCCAAUAUAUUCAUUUUCUGUAGUUUGAGUAGAACAAAUCUAGUCUUAAUGACAAAGAGUUAAAACUGUCUAGACAGCUUUUAACAUUUAUUUCAUUGGAGGAUAAGAGAAAUACGGCUCAUGUGAUACUGUGUAAAUUGGUUGGACCCACUCUCCGAAUUUCUCAAUGGUUGAGAUUCAGUGGUCUUCAGAGAGCUCUCUUCCUCUGUCCCCACUUUCUGAAACUUCUGUCCUUCCAUCCUUUCUUUCUCUUGCUUUCCCUCCAUCCCUCCGCCAGUCUUCCCUUCUUUCAGUUCAUAUUUCAGUUUGCUCCCAGGAGCUCGCAGGUCUGUGCCAGACGGAAAUUCGCUGAGGCUGCAGGAGCCCCCUUGGAGGCCACAUGGAGGAGGGACAGGAGGGGAACAAUCAGGCCCAGUCCUCCCUCUCCUUCUCUCUCCCUCUCUUCAGCGCUCCCCUCCAAUCUACUUUUUUCUCUCUUCUCCCCUCCUUUUUUUCUCUUUCUUCCGUCCUCACGUUUCCUCACUCUCUCCCCUGUCUCUCUCUCUGUCUCCUCUGUUUCCAGCCUGCCAGGCUACACAGGUCCUCAGGGUGACUUGCUCUUGGCUCGGGUCCCUCAGCACAGAGCCCUCUCCUCUCCUCCUACACCCACUGUUUUUACACAACACCUCCGCCCCCUCCUCCUUAUUUUUUGCUCCUUUCCCACCUCCUCUCCCUCCAAACUCUCCCCAGGGGGAAGACGCUGAGGCCAUCCAGUCCCGAGCUGUCCAUCAGCGAGGGUGUUUACUUGCAGCGUGACAGGCCGACACAUCUGGAGCGCAUAUUCACUAGUGUUCACACUAUUUCUCCCUCUCACUCCUCACUGGCCCUCGAUUUAUCCCGACGCUGCCACCAGAUGCAUUCCUCCCGUUCAUUUCAGGGCCCUUUGUCGUCGUUAUGGCGAGCCCACCUCUAACUUUCAUAAACUCGCUCAAAGCACACACGAGAUGCACACACAGAUUUGUUUUCAACCGUUUUUCCCUCUCUCUUUCACCCCUCCAGUGGUUUUUCAGUUGCAUGACAGAAAUUGGAGUUAACCACCAGCAGGGGUGGGCCAAAGGGGCGAAGCAAAGCAGUGCUGGGGUUGGGGGGGCAAGAGUCAGCCUUCUCUCCUCCACCUUUCUGUCUCCCUCUCCCUCCAUCUGUAUCCCCAUUCCCAAUCUUUCUCUCUUUUCAGUGAGUGCAAACUAAUUACAGCAGCUCCCCCACUUCUUUUUGGAAACCCAUGACUACUGCUCAAAUGAAGUGACACUCUUUUUUUUUCAUCCUGUGUGUCUCCUCUGCCUUACUCACUCAUCUCCCCACCUCAUCACCCUGCAUCUCACCCACCCACCCACCCUGUCUGUUUUCCCAACAUUCCUGUGCUGGUGUGUGACUGUGAUGGCUUGUCAUCUCACAGGAAUGUCCUGCUCUCCCACCUCGUCCCCCCGAUUUGGCGUGAAGCAUUUGCUCCUGGUUUCCGACUCUGCACAUGUGCACACACACAAACGCACACAUGCAAGCACACGCUUGAAAUGCUAGCUUUUAAAAAAAAUGUGUUCAUGCAGAUGGUGUCCAUUGGGCUGCAUACCUACCCUUGGCGUACGGCCACAACAAGCACAGCCAUUCUCAGAUAGUCCCCAGCUUGUUUUUCAACUGUAGAAAGUGUGCACAAAGUUAUUUUAUCUUAUGUUGCCUGUGGUAAAAAGAGCCAUUUUCUUUGUACGGUUAACCCGAGGAAUUCUCUUGAUUACACUGAUUACCAAAUACAGCCUUCCAGAGCGGUUUUUAAGCAAAAACACUUGUUUCAUGCAGUUUUAAAUAUAAAGGAAAACAUAUAAAAACACAAUUUGCAGCUAAUAAAGCAGGACCAUGCAGCAUCAUGCAAAGUUAAUGUGGAAGAGAAUCAUCGGCUGAGUGAUACGAUUGUUGAAAAUGUUGUUUCUUAUUAAACGUGAUCAUGCUUUUAGGUCUGCAUGUGUCCUCUAUACAGAAAAGAUAAUAUGACGCACAUGUGACUUGAAGAGAUGUUAAGCUUAGUUUAGUUUAGAGAGGGACACAUGAUGACUUUCUCUUAGUCUCAGCGUGUUUUAACCUGUCUGUCUACAUACAGAGAGGACUUAUCAAAGACCUAAUGGCACACAGGAACAUGCUACUCUCAAUGACCCCGGGGAGCACUCACAAUGAGGCUAAUAAGGCAGAAUAUUGUGCGUAUCUGCAUUUAUGUGUGUGUGCGCACAUGUGACACAAUCUCCUGAUUGGCAUCAUCCUCUCGAACAAGUCUGGCUCCUUCUAGAUCCGGUUGACGUCUGUGCACGUGUGUGAUUAUUUGUCAGUGUGCGUUUAUUUGUGUAUCUAUGUGUGUGUGUGUGAGACAGAGAGUGUGCAGGAGAUAUCACCGGGCUCUCAUGUUUAUUCAGCUCAACGCCUGGAUGACCAGGACUUAUCCGCUGUCCUGAUUACCCUGCCUGGCCUGCCACCAUUAAUCCUUCAGAGACCCCAGGCCCCUUAAACAGCCCUAUCUUACACACACAAACACAUGCGCGCACACGCAAAGCCACACAUGCUUCUUUAGUAUACAUAUCAAGGACACAUUGUAGUCCUCAUAUACAUAUACAUGAAAAAAAAGUGUAGUCUUCUCAUUUUUCUCUCUAUUUCCUGUUUUAUCAGGGCUGUCCUUAGAGCAAAGCCCCUGCAUUUGUGUGUGUGUGAAAACUGUCAUUUGGGCCUCAAGGAACCUUCCAGGCAUCUCUCAAGGUCCCCCCUCCCUUUAAUUCCCAGUGACUUGUGUGUGUGAGUGUGUGUGUGUUUGGGAGUAAAGGCAGGGAGAAGUGAUUCAGUCUCAUUUUUGAGCCACAGUAUUUUCUUUAUCAGCUCUAGGCCUCUGUGAAGGCCCACAUAAUUAUAUUUUAUGUUGAGUAAAAAUUACAGCAUUGUAGCUCUUUUCCCAUAACAACUGUAUUUCUCUUUGGAGACACAAGGGUUUUCUGGUGAGGGGCCUGUUGGAGCAAACCGAGUGUGCGAGCACGCGCCUGCGACUGUGCAUGUGCGCGAGGUUUCAUACGUGUGUAUUCAGGACAUGGAGGCUCUUUUCAGCAAUAGUCACAGAGGCCAAGACAUAAUAUUGACCGUGGCUGUGUUCCCUUUUCUGGUUUUGCCCAUAAUAAAUGAUGCAGAUUAGAAAAGUCGGAGUACGUUGGGCUGAUAAGUAGCCUUUAGAGCUGGCUUGCCAUGCUGUUUGUGCGGGAGGGGGCUCGCUUUUUCUCACUCUGCCUCAAUUUCAAGUAUCCCAGUGACUCAAGGGCAGAGACAGUGUGUGUCUGUGUGUGUGUGUUUGUGUGUGUGUGUGGAGUUUUAACUGUGGUCUGUUGACGUUCAGAGUGAGCGGGUGGUGAGGGUGUUUGGACUCUGAAGGAAUGACGGCAGUGUGUGUUGCCAAGUCCCAUUUGAAUAUAUACACAGUAGGGAACCCUCUCAUUAUAAACAGAAGCUCAGACUCAUAGAUGUGCAUGAAAAAACACACACAUGCACACACACACACACACUCAGAGGAUGGGGACACAGUGCUGGAACUAGAACAGCUGGAACAGAGAAAAGCCAGUUCAUAUUGUUAGGCAAACAAAGCUGAAUUGUUGAAAUCGUGUGUGUGUUUGAAGGAUAUUUGUUUUAAUGUGACUCCCCCAGUCAUUGUCAGGAGAUGAAACGCCCGUCAACACUCACUGUUGUCUUUAUCAUGCACUGUUUGUGUCUUUCUACCUCAUUCCCUUCUUUCCUUCAUCAAUUUACUUCAGGAGGCAACACUUGACCACCUGAGCAGACAUGCACACAAGACACACACUUGCACACAAUGAGUCGUCUCUGACUCCUUCCCCUCCUCUGACACAGCUCCCUCUCUCUCCCCUCCUGUCCCUGUCUUCUCUCUUUUCCCAUAACAAAUAACAGCGCAGAAUUCCCCUCGCUUCUCUCCUGGGGAAUUUUCAUUACCGCCCAGUCCCCCUGCUCAGAAGGACUCCCCGCCUUGAACUGUUCAACAGCUGUGGUGUGGACACUCUCUUCCAAAACAGGCCCACUGUUCACAAACACCCACCGGACUCAGGGUGGGGACUCUGUGUCAACCUCCACAGCUCCAGAGACAGAGCUUCCCUUCGCAUGUGGCCCACCUCAAGGCCCUCUCGCCUGGGGAGAAAGAGGCCUGACACAGGGCCCCCAUCUCUACUUGAAUUAGAUUGAGAACAGAUUUCAGUGGGCUUGUAUAAGAGGGAUUAUAGACGGAUAAAGAAAUUAUUACGACUUAGUUUUCUGGCUGUGUAGUAUACUCAACAGCAGAAGUCCCACAUCCUGAUCAUGCAUGUUUCACUGAACCAAUCUGGAGAAAGGAGUUUACACAUUUCACCUCUGCUUGCUGACUCUGUGGCAAACCAUUAGUUUCUGAAUCGUCAGUCGUUUUGAUCACCUUCUCGAAAUGUACUAUUACAGUAAAUGUUCAGUUAUGUAAAUCUGCUUUGCAAGUAAGCUAAUAAUAUUUUACUGUGGACAUUGCCAACUGUGUUAUCAGAGGGAGUAGCCUACUGCAAGGCUGCCAAGUUUCAGAAAAUGACAAGAGUGAGACUUAGGCGUUAUGAUGUGUUCGGCCGCCGACCACGCGGAAAAAUAAAUAAAUAAAUAACGUUGAUUUAUACCUUAAGACUGAUGUCCUCACCUCCAUGCCAGCUGCUCUCCCUGCACUGUGGCCUCCCCUAAUGCUAGUCUUAAUUAACCAGAAAUAAGAAAGUGGGUUUUGAAUGUCGGCGCUGUUGUGUGUGAAAGAUAGAGAUGCCAAGACCCGCCUUACGUUGCUUCUGAUUGGUUUAUAUUGCGUGGCGCCUUCCAUGGUUGGUUAGAUUUAGGCACAAAGGACUGAUGGAUUGGUCUAGGAUUGGUUAUCUCGGUCAGUUAAUCAGAGUUACUCGAACUACGGCAAGCCAAGUUUAUUAUCAUCAAAAAAAUAAAUACAGACUAUUAAAUGGGGAAAUAUAAGUGUGAGAAAUGUGAAGUGUGGCGUGUGGCGAAUGGGUGAAACUGCGUGACUGUCACACUCAAAUUAAGACACUUGGCAGCUCUGCUACUGUGUGUCAACUUAUCUUUGGUUGGUAGCUAGUUAACAUGUACAUCAGAGUAAUAAAGCCCUGGAGAGUUGGUGCGUUAUUUUAGAAAACCUAUUUACAAAACCUUCAAAUUCUGCUCGACGUUGUUUAAAGUCUCAGUUUUCAUCUUACAAGACAGCAGCUAUUAGCUUAGCUAUCUACAGGGGUCUCCAUCAGCUUGAGAUUUAGUGCCUGCCUGUUUCUUGAUGCCGUGUGGCUGGACAUCAAGAAUGAAAAGUUUGGUUUUGCAGUUUGUGGGAAAGCUCCUAGCUUGUAACUGUGAAAAUAGGAUGCUAGACCACGUGCAAGAUGUAUAAAUGGUAACGCUUUUCGUCCUGCAUGCAAGGAGGCUUUGGGAAAUGAGGAAGAGGUGUCCGCACUAGAAGUAUGCAAAGUUUCAAAUCACGACGUAAAUGUAUGUUGUCAUUAUCCUAGAAAAUAGAUGUAAACUGCUCAAAACGGGGCCUUACGAGAAAACGUUAGACUCACUAAAAUGCUUGUGUCAGCAUUAUAGGCUCUCAUUACUGGUUCAUCUGUGCUUUCAGCAAAGCAGAACGGCCUGCCUCCAACAGUGUGUGAGGUGACAGCGCUCUACUAAUUGAACACAAAAGAGGGGGUGGGGCCAAAACAUCAAGCUCUGCCCCCAGCUGGCCUCCGGAAAGCCUACAGAGGGGUGGCCAAUCAGAAGAAAGGAGGCUGGGGGGCCUUAAAGAAACAGCGGCUAAAACUAAGCAUUUUAGACAAAGGUUGAAAUCAUGAUAUUUUAAUGCACUAGAGUGAGAAACACAUUUUUUAAAUCUGAAAAUCAGAUUGAGAUCUUAAAGAGAGAUCAGAAAGGAAGUAUAGAGUAAAAAAAGAUGUAUAAUACCCCCGCUUGAACGUCAGUUUAUCCUGCACAGAAUCAGCUGUUUUCUCUUCCUGAUGAUCAAUGUUAAACAGAGUUAAUCUUUUGAUUACCUAUGCCCACCUCUGCAGUUUUACAGGCUAUUAAAUCUAUAUACUGGAGCUUUAUUGUAAAGUGCAGAGGAGUCAUCGGGUCUUCACUGACUGACAGGAAAGAGUACUGGCAGCUAAGGAAAGGGUCCCAGUAUGCUGAAAAAAAGUCGCGGUAACACAAGGGGUUAAAUGUAGAACCGGUUGUAAUUCAUACUAGGGUGGUCUGGCUUUCCUUUGGCACAUUAUGCCAAAUAAUGGAAGCGUCUUGAAAUGAAUUAAAAGGUGAGACUGUCUUCCCCAAAAUAAGAAACAACAGUUUACAUGGCAAGUUAAAAGGUUUCUACUGAUAAUGUUAGUGAAGCUCUUUCAAUUGCCAGUAGUUAUCAUUCCACACAAUCAGAUAGAUAGAUAGAUAGAUAGAUGGAUAGAUGGAUAGAUGGAUAGAUAGAUAGAUAGAUAGAUAGAUAGAUAGAUAGAUAGAUAGAUA
This 8430-nucleotide long non-coding RNA is filed under the name Xyrichtys novacula (pearly razorfish). The record is from RNAcentral. Lineage: Eukaryota; Metazoa; Chordata; Actinopteri; Labriformes; Labridae.